Molecule: ribosomal RNA, 253 nt
Filed under: uncultured bacterium
Lineage: Bacteria
Description: partial 16S ribosomal RNA
Rfam family: Bacterial small subunit ribosomal RNA
Source: RNAcentral
UACGUAGGGGGCAAGCGUUGUCCGGAUUUAUUGGGCGUAAAGAGCUCGUAGGCGGUUCAGCAAGUCGGGUGUGAAAAAUCUGGGCUCAACCCAGUGGAGCACCCGAUACUGCUGUGACUAGAGUCCGGUAGGGGAGUGUGGAAUUUCUGGUGUAGCGGUGAAAUGCGCAGAUAUCAGAAGGAACACCAACGGCGAAGGCAGCACUCUGGGCCGGUACUGACGCUGAGGAGCGGAAGCGUGGGGAGCGAACAGG